This 1054-nucleotide ribosomal RNA is filed under the name human gut metagenome. RNAcentral describes it as "bacterial LSU rRNA". It matches the Rfam family "Bacterial large subunit ribosomal RNA", at positions 1289 to 2420 of the family's 2925-position model. The record is from RNAcentral.
UGAGAAUGCCGGAAUGAGUAGCGAGAAUUAUGUGAGAAUCAUAAUGGCCGAAAGACUAAGGUUUUAGAAGGAAGGUUCGUCCGCUUCUAGUUAGCCGGGAGCUAAGGCGAGGCCGAAAGGCGUAGUCGAUGCACAUACGGUUGAGAUUCCGUAGCCACCUUAAAUUUAAACUAAGGGACACAUUGAAAGGGAAUAACCCAGGCGUUGGUUGACCUGGGCGUAAGGGAACGAAAAUAAGUAGUGAAGUAUUCUUGGACAGUGGCGAGAAAAGCUUAGUGUAUAUUAUUAGGGUGCCCGUACUGCAAACCGACACAGGUAGUCAGGAAGAGAAUUCUAAGGCCAUCGGGAGAAGCGUUGUUAAGGAACUCGGCAAAUUGACCCCGUAACUUCGGAAUAAGGGGUGCUCACGAGAGUGAGCCGCAGUGAAUAGGUCCAGGCAACUGUUUAUCAAAAACACAGCUCUCUGCUAAAUCGUAAGAUGACGUAUAGGGGGUGACACCUGCCCGGUGCUGGAAGGUUAAGAGGAGGAGUGCAAGCCCCGAAUCGAAGCCCCAGUAAACGGCGGCCGUAACUAUAACGGUCCUAAGGUAGCGAAAUUCCUUGUCGGGUAAGUUCCGACCCGCACGAAUGGUGUAACGAUCUGGACACUGUCUCAACUACCCACCCGGCGAAAUUGUAGUACCGGUGAAGAUGCCGGUUACCCGCGGCAAGACGGAAAGACCCCAUGGAGCUUUACUGUAACUUAAUAUUGGGUCUCGGUACUUUAUGUACAGGAUAGGCGGGAGACUUGGAAACUAGCACGCCAGUGUUAGCGGAGUCAUCCUUGGGAUACCGCUCUUAAGGUAUUGAGAUUCUAACCUGCAGCCUUGAAUCAGGUUGGGGGACAUUGUUAGGUGGGCAGUUUGACUGGGGCGGUCGCCUCCAAAAGAGUAACGGAGGCGUUCAAAGGUUGGCUCAGCAUGGACGGAAACCAUGCUUUAGAGUAUAAACGCAUAAGCCAGCCUAACUGCGAGACUGACGGGUCGAGCAGUAACGAAAGUUGGAGUUAGUGAUC